Molecule: non-coding RNA, 3980 nt
Organism: Phalacrocorax carbo (great cormorant)
Lineage: Eukaryota; Metazoa; Chordata; Aves; Suliformes; Phalacrocoracidae
Source: RefSeq, a predicted model, not a curated record
UGUCUCUUAAAUGUGUUCAGAACAUUUCUGCAGCCUGCAGAGCUGGGAUUGUUUAUUAGAAGAUAAGAUAGUGAAAAAUGUAUUUUGCAGAAAGAAAAUAGUAAAGCUGGUUUCCCAGCAGAUAAGAAGCCAAAUUUCUAUUUUAUGCUCAAUUGAAUGAUUCAGUUACAUUAUCUGGGAGGCAGCAGUGAAAUAACACCCUUCGGAAAUGAGACUGUGAGGACACACAGUUCAGAGGAGGCAGCUAUGGGCCCAUCACCUGACAGCUCAGGCACCCAGCCCUGGGACGCCCGUGGGCGGCGCAGCCCUCCCUCCCACUCUGGGCCGGGCUGUGGGUGGUGAGAGCCACGUCCCAGAGAGCCCCCGCAGCCUGCGCCGCGCUCCAGAACUGGAAGGAUGCAGGAUUAGCGCUUCCCUCGUCGUGCUCUCCGGCGGCACAAAGCGCUGCUCUUCUGCAAGCAAUGCUUGCUGGUUCGGGAUGGCUCCCUCCCUCCUUGCUGGUCCCUGCUGGGCCACGGCUCCUGCGAUGGGGCGGGAAUCGAGAGAGGGUCCUUGCAGAGGGAGCUGCUGCCCAUGUCUCGGCAGGGCCUCAAGUGACGGCACGAUCCUGCUGGUUUUCCCCCUCUGUUGCCUUUGCAUUUCUCAAGUCUGACGUCCACAGAGGCAGCUACUGUCUUGUGCGAGAGAACUAGUGUGACACGUGCCAGGAACAUGUGUUUUUGCGAUUUUACAAUGAGUUCUGCAGCUGUUGGGAUUUUCCUUAGAACUCCAGCUUCAGGAAAAAGGAAAAGGGGAAAAUGAAAAAGGAACUAACUUAUCUUUCUAGCUGUGAAGGACAGCCUGUUUAUAUAAAAUGAAUACCCCGUACAGUCUCAAAAUCCAGAAAAAAAAUUAUUGUUAUUAUUUUAAAAUAAAAAUUCCACCAAGUUAGCACAAAAAAACAUUCCCAUGAUUUUUUAACCCAGGACUCUUAGAUGAUGGGCUCUCCAUUUCUGACUGCUCAAGGUUGCCAAUUUUAUUUAUUGUGUUCCUUAGGAGACUUUACUUUUGUUUCGCUUUUUCUUUCUGUUAAUAUAAAUGUCAUUCCUUCGUAAAGCUUAUGGCUCCGUCUGAAAAUGAAGAAACAAAUGAAGCAUGUGGCACAUUAGUGCCAAUCUUUUCCUUGCACUAGAGGGUCUGGCUUACAGCAGUGAUGGUUGCGUCCUUGAUAAGUCCAUUUUUUAUUUACUGAGCCAUUUAAUUUAUGAUUCAUUAUUUGUAUGGGCCUGGCCACGCUGAUGAUCCAAAGAGAAAUCCACUAUUAAAGGACACAGCAGCUUUCUCCAGUUUUUAGUCUCUGUCAUGGGCAAUCUUAGCUGCUAACAGAAGCUACACCAGACCUUCAGUUAAUGUUUGGUUAAGUCUACAGUUUAGAGUACUUAAAAUCAAACUCCUGCAUUAGCAGUUUUGGAGGAGAGUACUUUUUCUGCAUGAGACCACGGUGUGAUGACGCCAUGUCCACGAUGCGGGCAGUGAGUGUGGUGGCAACGGGCUGGUCCCCUUCAACCUGCUGAUUUUCAGUGGCCUGUUCAAAUGACUAAUGAUUGCAGUCCAGGUACCAGUGGGCAGAUAUAUCACAUUAAUUGGCUUAAACUGGCUUCUUGGAUAAUGGCAUGAUUUGGAAAGACAAGAACUGAAUUCCAUGGAGAAAAAGGACUCUCUAUUGGGCAGAAGGUGUAGAGGUACGACUCACCAGGAAGAAGAUGGUGAUUUAAAGAAUGAACCAGGUAAAAAUAUUCCUUCAUGACCACCACAGGUUUGAACAUGUCUUUAAGGACUGUAUUUGAUUACCUGUAUAAUAUUAUGGUUUGCUGUAUGAUUUACAGCUAAAGGUCCAGAUUAAGACUGAAUUGCCACCACUGUAGGUAAGCAUUGAUUAGACACAUGAAGAAGAAUGUCCUUCCUCCAGCCUUAACUUUUGAGAGAGCAUAAAAGACAGAAAGGAAGAUCUGCAAGUUCAUUGAGGCACUUGGUGGGGGCUGGAACCCAAAUUCUGUACUCUAAUUCACAACAUUUACUAAAACCUCCUUGUCAUUUUCAGCACUGAGUUUCCUUUCAACAACACUCCUAGGUAUCAGUUUGAUCCACAAUUUCGACAAACAACAUGUCAAAACAAGUCCUCCUGAAAAGGUCUGAGGGAAUUUUCGCUUCUGCUUUUAGGAUGUAUUUCAAUAACACUGAACUUUCCAUUUCCACUUUGUAUUUUUUCAUUAUAGUAUAACAUAUACUGGUGAGCUCAUAAAGUUGUGAGGAGACAUGCAAGACGUUUUAAUCUUGCUUAAUGGUUUAAUCUUUUCUAUAUGAAACGCUGCAUUUUUUGUCGUGCAGACAGUUUAAAGAAUUUUGACUUCCAGUCCAUCAGGAAGGCCGGGUGGUGGCCUAUAAGAAAGUUGGAUAUUUUGAUAUGUUUGUUUUUUUUUUUUUAAAUAAAAUAAUAAUAAAAAAGAAUAUCAUUUUACAGAAUGAAAAGUUCCUGGAUAGUGCGACUGACAAAUAUCAUCAUGUACAUAUGUUUGCCUCAGUGUGGCAGCUCCUCAAGGUGUUGAAUUGCCUGAUGGGCAGUUUAGCAGCAUCGUCUCAUUCCCACGUGCCUCUAAAGGCUCCAUUCAGUGCCUGGUGGGACGGUAUGAGCAGGUUUCCUGGAAGACUGAUACUUCUAAUGUGCAGAUUAAAACUCACAAAAGCCAUUAUGGGCCAUUCUAAAAACUGGGAAGCUUUCUAGUAAACUGAUACUGACUUGGUAGUGAAAUGGAGUUUAAUGAGGGAAGAUCUAACUGUCUGAGACUGAUGACUUCAGUGGUGUUAAUGCAUCCUAUGCAACUUACGCAUAAAACAGACCACUUAUCAAGGUCAUUGUAUAUUUGCUUUGGUGCAACAACAACAGUAUCAAUCUUCCUUCUAAACCCAGCAGAAAGCCAAGUGUCUGCUAAAACCAUUAACCACGUGCAGGAGGAGCUGAGUAUCUCUUCUGGGAGCUGCAUGCUAGGAUCUGCAAAUAGCCACGGUGAGCUGAGCAAAACCCCUCUGGGCCUGCAAGUCCAGGAGGAACUUGGCGACCAAGCAGAGAGUGCUGAGACUUGAGAACCCACCUCAUGUGUCUACAUGCCAAUGUGGUGAAGAGUGGUGUUGAGGGAAAGGGAGGAUGCCAGAAUUUCUCUGAGAACCUGCUUCCAAGCUGAGCUGAUCUUCUAUUCUAUUGUGCUCUUAAUGGAAGGGUCAGGCUGAAGAAAGUAAUUUAUGUCUUCUAAAAUAUGUUUUUUUGCAUGUAACUGUAUCAAGUCUCCGGUGUGAGACACACCGCCACCCCCCCCACCCCCACCCCCCCGAGCACUCUGCAACCUUUAGUGCCUCUUUCUUCUUGAGUAGCAACCCUACGGAUUGUGCUAGUUCCAAUGCUUUGGACGUUAAGCAACUGAUAUAGUUUAAACACUUGUAAAAUGCCUACAAUGUCUGUUGUGCUUGGACUCAAGAUGUUGUGCUAGCAACAGUGGCUCAGACUAUUUUGACAAGGGCUUGCUGGAGUGCCUGGUUGCCUUGUGCAAACAAGGUCCAAAGAGGCUUAAGGCUUCUAAAGUUUCAGGGACAGAUUCCUGGCAGAGGAAAACUGCUGAAGCUUUUCUGAAACCAGGGAGCUUGUGCCAUUUUACUCCAGGCAAGGGUGUGGACCUUAGGGGUGCUCUAACUGCUUAAAUUGCUCUGCAGUUUUAGGGAGUUUACAGUAAGCCUCUUAAACUGCUCUAAGGGCUUACAGUAUCUUAAGCCUCUUAAAUUAUAUUAAAAAAACUUACAGUAUUUUGGCAGAAUCCACAGUUUGGAAGGUUUCAAGGUUCAGAAAAAAUCAAACUUGUCUUGUUUGAUAGAUUUUAUUGGGAAUUAAAUAUAUCUGAUAAAAUAUAAUUUUAAUAAUUUUAAAAUGGCAAACUUAAAUACUUAUUUUGCCA